This is a small nuclear RNA of Cercocebus atys (sooty mangabey), 107 nucleotides long. The record is from Ensembl. Lineage: Eukaryota; Metazoa; Chordata; Mammalia; Primates; Cercopithecidae.
GUACUCACUUCAGCAGCACAUACACUAAAAUUGGAAUGACACAGAGAAGAUUAGCAUGACCCCUGCACAAGGAUGACAUGAACAUUCAUGAUGCAUUCCAUACUAAA